This 211-nucleotide ribosomal RNA is filed under the name uncultured bacterium. Its description in RNAcentral is "partial 16S ribosomal RNA". It matches the Rfam family "Bacterial small subunit ribosomal RNA", at positions 1288 to 1500 of the family's 1533-position model. The record is from RNAcentral.
UUCGGUAGUUAGAAGGCUGAAAUUCGCCUUCAUGAAGCCGGAAUUGCUAGUAAUGGCAGGUCAGCAUACUGCCGUGAAUACGUUCCCGGGCCUUGUACACACCGCCCGUCACACCAUGAGAGUUGGGAAUACCCGAAGCCUGUGAGCUAACUUUUAGAGGCAGCAGUCGAAGGUAGAAUCAAUGAUUGGGGUGAAGUCGUAACAAGGUAGC